This is a long non-coding RNA of Panicum virgatum (switchgrass), 544 nucleotides long. RefSeq lists it as uncharacterized. The record is from RefSeq and is a predicted model, not a curated record. NCBI's taxonomy places the organism in Eukaryota, Viridiplantae, Streptophyta, Magnoliopsida, Poales, Poaceae. The transcript has 2 exons.
AAGAUCAUGGAGCUCAUUGCCAGAGCCAUUGUCGAGCCGUAGUUCAUCAGCUAGGGGCAGAGGAGAUGUAAUUGGAUGUACUGGUGCUGCUGCAUCUUAAGAUGGAAGUACUCAUGCCUGAUGGAAGAUAAGAGCAAGCAUGCUGUCAAGCCAAGAACAGCACAUCCUCAUCUACAUCCAUUUGAAUUUGAACGUCUGUAGUGUGAUCCUUCCUAAGAAUCCUAACCCUUUUUAUGGUCUGAUUGGAUUAAAAAAAAUCAUAUGUUCAUGCCUGAUGCAAGUGAAGGUCAGCAUAGGCAUGUUGUUUGGUCACUAGUAUGCCAAUCAAUCACUAGCUAGAUUCUUGAUUCAAGAUAUGUAAAUUCUUUUAUGUGUACUGUGCCUUAUGUUUUCUGGAUGCUAAUCCUUUUUUUUAUUCAUAUAGUUACCUAGUUAGUUGUUUGAUUUGUGGUUUUUCUUGCAAGUCCAAAUCGUAAAAUUUGGCGCCAUGAAGCAGAUCUGUUAGUGCCCCUUAUUCAACCAAUGUAUGCUUUUUUCAUGGUCA